GUCGUGGCUUAGGCGUAGGGCACCUGCUUUGCAUGCAGAAGGUCACAGGUUCAAACCCUGGCAUCUCUA
Non-coding RNA from Podarcis lilfordi (Lilford's wall lizard), 69 nucleotides. Lineage: Eukaryota; Metazoa; Chordata; Lepidosauria; Squamata; Lacertidae. The record is from the annotation of a GenBank genome assembly.